CGAUCAAUAAAAGGUAAUAAUUUUGCUUUAAGUUUGAUUUUUUGUUCGUUAAGAAAUUGGAUAUUGUUUUGAUCUGAUUCUUUUUGGUGGUUGUCUAUGUUGGUAUUUUCAGUUUCACAGAUGUUGAUGAUUUCUUGUUUUUAAAGUUUUUCACUUUUUCAAUUUGAGAUAUGUUUUUGGGUUCUUGAUUUUUGAUGUUCCCAAAGUGAAUAUCCAUGUAUUUUAAGACUUUUUUGGGCUUCAAAUUAUAUUGUUUAUGAUUACGUGCUCAAGUUUG
RNAcentral lists this unclassified non-coding RNA (277 nucleotides) under Hevea brasiliensis (rubber tree). Lineage: Eukaryota; Viridiplantae; Streptophyta; Magnoliopsida; Malpighiales; Euphorbiaceae. The record is from RNAcentral.